GGGAAUGUGGCUUAGUGGUAAAGUGCUUGCCUAACAUGCAUAAAGCCCUGGGUUCAAUUCCUCAGUACCA
This 70-nucleotide transfer RNA is filed under the name Dipodomys ordii (Ord's kangaroo rat). It matches the Rfam family "tRNA". From Rfam's summary of the family: Transfer RNA (tRNA) molecules are approximately 80 nucleotides in length. Their secondary structure includes four short double-helical elements and three loops (D, anti-codon, and T loops). The record is from Rfam by way of RNAcentral. Lineage: Eukaryota; Metazoa; Chordata; Mammalia; Rodentia; Heteromyidae.